This 519-nucleotide ribosomal RNA is filed under the name Triticum aestivum (bread wheat). RNAcentral describes it as "partial small subunit ribosomal RNA". Lineage: Eukaryota; Viridiplantae; Streptophyta; Magnoliopsida; Poales; Poaceae. The record is from RNAcentral.
GGCGUACCAACAAAGGAGAAUAGUAGAUCAACCAGGUGUGGUUGCGAUGCAAAGAUUCGUCUCCUGCGUUCUGCUAACAAUGGAUGGUAUAUCAGUGAGCACCACAGCGAGCAUAACCACCCAUCUAUUACAUGCGGGGAGAAGCUGCAUUGAAAGUCGCACAGGUACAUUGAUAUACACACUAGAGACUUGGUGAAGCAGUUACGAGAAAACAAUGUAAGCCUAAGCAAAGUAUACAGUAUUGUUGGAAGCUACUUCGGUACGUUGGAAAAUGUACCCUUCACCAAAAGAUCAUUGAGGACCCUAUGUGGUAAGCUUAGCAGAGACCAAUCUGAUCACGAUGCAAGCAAAACAAUAACCCUGCUACAGGACUUGAAAGUUGUUGAUCCUGACUUUAUAUACAAUGUCCAGGUGGACGAAGAGUCUAGGGUUAAGACACUUAUGUGGGUUUAUGGACGAGGCACUACUAGGAAAAGGGCUAUAGAUAGGAUUGACACUAAUGGCGCAUCAGGGUUGUAG